AUUAAGCAUAUCAAUAAGCGGAGGAAAAAGAAACCAACAGCCAUUGCCACAGUAACGGCGAGUGAAGCGGCAAGAGCUCAAAUUUGAAAGCUGGCUCCUUCGGGGUCCGCAUUGUAAUUUGCAGAGGAUGCUUCGGGAGCGGUCCCCAUCUAAGUUCCCUGGAACGGGACGUCAUAGAGGGUGAAAAUCCCGUAUGGGAUGGGGUGUCCGCGCCCGUGUGAAGCUCCUUCGACGAGUCGAGUUGUUUGGGAAUGCAGCUCUAAAUGGGUGGUAAAUUUCAUCUAAAGCUAAAUAUUGGCCGGAGACCGAUAGCGCACAAGUAGAGUGAUCGAAAGAUGAAAAGCACUUUGAAAAGAGAGUUAAAAAGCACGUGAAAUUGUUGAAAGGGAAGCGCUUGCGACCAGACUCGCUCGCGGGGUUCAGCCGGCAUUCGUGCCGGUGUACUUCCCCGCGGGCGGGCCAACGUCGGUUUGGGCGGUCGGUCAAAGGCCCUCGGAAGGUAACGCCCCCAGGGGCGUCUUAUAGCCGAGGGUGCAAUGCGACCUGCCUAGACCGAGGAACGCGCUUCGGCUCGGACGUUGGCAUAAUGGUCGUAAGCGACCCGUCUUGAAACACGGACCAAGGAGUCUAACAUCUACGCGAGUGUUCGGGUGUCAAACCCGUGCGCGCAGUGAAAGCGAACGGAGGUGGGAACCCUUUGGGUGCACCAUCGACCGAUCCUGAUGUCUUCGGAUGGAUUUGAGUAAGAGCGUAGCUGUUGGGACCCGAAAGAUGGUGAACUAUGCCUGAAUAGGGCGAAGCCAGAGGAAACUCUGGUGGAGGCUCGUAGCGGUUCUGACGUGCAAAUCGAUCGUCGAAUUUGGGUAUAGGGCGAAAGACUAAUC
Molecule: ribosomal RNA, 884 nt
Filed under: Penicillium canescens
Lineage: Eukaryota; Fungi; Ascomycota; Eurotiomycetes; Eurotiales; Aspergillaceae
Description: LSU rRNA
Rfam family: Eukaryotic large subunit ribosomal RNA
Source: RNAcentral